Molecule: ribosomal RNA, 439 nt
Filed under: uncultured bacterium
Lineage: Bacteria
Description: partial 16S ribosomal RNA
Rfam family: Bacterial small subunit ribosomal RNA
Source: RNAcentral
CUACGGGGGGCAGCAGUGGGGGAUAUUGCACAAUGGGGGAAACCCUGAUGCAGCAACGCCGCGUGAAGGAAGACGGUUUUCGGAUUGUAAACUUCUAUCAGCAGGGAAGAAAAUGACGGUACCUGACUAAGAAGCCCCGGCUAACUACGUGCCAGCAGCCGCGGUAAUACGUAGGGGGCAAGCGUUAUCCGGAAUUACUGGGUGUAAAGGGUACGUAGGCGGCUGAUCAAGUCAGAUGUGAAAGCCCGGAGCUCAACUCCGGGACUGCAUUUGAAACUGGUCGGCUAGAGUGCAGGAGAAGAAAGUGGAAUUCCUAGUGUAGCGGUGAAAUGCGUAGAUAUUAGGAAGAACACCAGUGGCGAAGGCGGCUUUCUGGACUGUAACUGACGCUGAGGUACGAAAGCGUGGGGAGCGAACAGGAUUAGAUACCCGCGUAGUC